UUCAACCUCUCGGGGAGCUUUGAUCAUUUAUGGGAACAUAUCUGAUGCAUAGCUGAGAUAGCAAUUGCUUGACCCGUCGAACUUGAACUGGACAAUACCAGCGUAAGGAAGAGACUUGUAUCUAAU
Molecule: non-coding RNA, 126 nt
Filed under: Sulfurovum sp. AR
Lineage: Bacteria; Pseudomonadati; Campylobacterota; Epsilonproteobacteria; Campylobacterales; Sulfurovaceae
Also listed under: 1 other name
Description: TPP riboswitch aptamer (THI element)
Rfam family: TPP riboswitch aptamer (THI element)
About the family: Vitamin B(1) in its active form thiamin pyrophosphate (TPP) is an essential coenzyme that is synthesised by coupling of pyrimidine and thiazole moieties in bacteria. The previously detected thiamin-regulatory element, thi box was extended, resulting in a new, highly conserved RNA secondary structure, the THI element, which is widely distributed in eubacteria and also occurs in some archaea.
Source: Rfam by way of RNAcentral